Molecule: long non-coding RNA, 5490 nt
Filed under: Equus caballus (horse)
Lineage: Eukaryota; Metazoa; Chordata; Mammalia; Perissodactyla; Equidae
Description: lncRNA (ENSECAG00000049717.1)
Source: RNAcentral
GACACGUUGAUGCGAAUUACGGCUGUUGCUCUGAACUGUUGCGAGGCAGAGCACAUACUCUACGUGCUCAGCACAAUAUGGAAGAUAGCCCUCUGAUGCCCAUGACUACCUUCAGAUUUGUUAUAACCCCCUUAUUUUAAAGGAAGACCAGCCCUGAGCUAACAUCUGCCGCCAAUCCUCCUCUUUCUGCUGAGGAAGACUGGCCCUGAGCUAACAUCCAUGCCCAUCCUCCUCUACCUUAUAUGUGGGAUGCCGGACACAGCUGUGCCAUGUCCGAACCUGGGAUCUGAACCAGCGAACCCCAGGCCGCUGAAGCAGAACGUGCGCACUUAACCGCUGCGUCACCGGGCCAGCCCCUUAGCAUGCUAUUUUAUUUGUGUACAAGGAGGAUAAACAGACAGGUUGAUUCUAAGAAAAACAAGAACAGGAUUUAUUUAAGGAAAAUGAGAAAAAGUCAAGAAAAAAAUACGGUUUAGGACAAAUGAGCUUUGUUUUCCUUUUCUUAGGUCAGUGCUGAUUAGAGGCAACUAGCAACAACCUGAGUUGUUUAUGGAUUCUCUAGAAAACCUUGAGAGGUUAGCUGUGGAAUAUUCGUGAUGGGCUGGCUCAGUGUGAUGUCUGCCUAUGUCCCUUGUUAGCACCUUCUGUUCAUCUUAGUUAGGCCUGGUCUGCCCAUCAAAAUUUCUCCAGGGCUUACAGGUCAGAAGUAUAAACGGUUCUCUUCAAAUAGGACAUAGCACUGAAGAGUGACCAAGUUAAAAUUUUAUAAGAGGCUUUUCUCUAACAAGUAAUUGGCUUAAUAAAAUUAAAUUAAGCUGGCUUAAUCAGAAUAUGGAAUUAGUUGACUGUUACAAUGGAAAAGUGUAAGGGGUAAACUUCAACAUGGUGUGAUCAGAGACUCAAAUAACGGCAUCAGCACUCAAUUUCUCUUUCUCCAUCUCUUGGUUAUGUCCACCGGGUUCGCUUUGUCUCAGGCAGGCUUUUACCUUGAGGUGAUAAGAUGAUGUCAGAAGUUCUCCAUCCUAUAUCAUUCUGGGUUCAAAAGUAGAAAAGAAGUCUUUUCUCAUGACUCAUUAUAAUUAGGCAAAUUUGGUCAAAUGACAUCCCCUGAACCAAUCACUGUGACCAGGGGAACGGUAUUCCAAUACUUGGCUGGUCCUGGUCACACUCUCAACCCCUGAUGGAAGGAAGAUACCCACUUGCUGCUCGAGGACUGAGAACAGGAAGCAUCUGUAACAGGAAACCAGAAUGCAGCUACCAAAAGAAGUGGAAACGGAUGCUUAUUGGACAACCAAACAGCCCCAGGAGGCAACCCUAGUGCAACAGUUACAUGUAUCAGUUAGGACUUGUUCUAACACAAACAACAAAAAAACCUAACUCUAAUUGUCUUUAAAAAAAAUAAGAAAGGAAUUUAUUGGCUCCUAUUCAAAAACUUACACAGGAUUUGUUUUAAUUAGGUAUAGUAAGACACAUAGACACGGAAAUGAUUGUCAAGAAGGAAGUUUAUGCUCUCAGAUCCCUAGAAACAGGGGGCACGGCAUGCCAUGCAGGGCCACAUGGGGAAGGACCGAGGCUGGUCAGGAGGCAGGAAGGGGCAAGAGGGGAGAGGAUGGCCCAGAGGCUUUAUUAAAGUUUUCAUAGGAAGGAGUGGGCGAGGCAGGGUAAGGAUGCUGAGUAAGUUUAGGAUCGGAUAGUUUGAUUAAUUUCAGUAGGCUCUGGUCUAUGGGGGUGGUCUCUAGUUGCCUGGUACUUGGUCCUGGUGUGAUUUAGGGCAGGGGGGACUGUUGGCUUGGUGGGUGAGAGUUUGAUAAAGGAGAUGAUUUGGGAUGUGGGCUCUGGAUUGGUUAGUUGUAUAUCAAAGGCAUGCUCUGGGUGUGCGUGUUCCAGGAGGAGCAGAGGGAAGUCAUUUGCUAUCUCUAGUAAUUAGCUAGCCCUGGGAGAAGCAGUCUCUCCAGGAUCAAAGCCCCAAAUGCCAGAGCAUCAAGAAUACAGAAAAUAAGAAGGUAUAGUCAACACAGCUCCCAUAACUGAAAAGCCCAGGGAAAUAAAUUUUCCAGCAUAGCUAGAUAUGACCCAUAUGAGGUUAUCUCAGCAUUGAGCUCAGGCUCCACCUGGUGGCUCCUGGCAGUUCCAGACUCCAUCGUUCCCUCCUCCACCUCCCAGCCCGUGAUGCCUAAAGGACAGCAGCAGCUCUCUUCUACAUCCUUUCUGCUUCAAGUCCUGAAGAAAAGAAGGAGCUUCUUUCCUCCAAAAGCCAAACAAAGAUCCUGGUCCUCAUUCUUAUUGGCCAGGUUUGGACCAAUCACUGUGGCCAAGCGGAUGGGAAUCGCUUGUUGACUUAGGAAGAACCCCUAGUGCUCUAACCACAUAGAUAGAGAAAGAGGAGAGGUGGCUCUCCACGGGCACUCUGGCGUGCUGUUUUCCCAGAAGAAUGGGAAUGGAUGCUGGGAAACCUAAGCAGCAGCCGUCCACUACACAAUGAAUGUCAGAUAUGUUUAUCUCGGGGUAGCUAGUACCUUGUCAUUAUUGCUGACUUGUUUUAUAUAACUUUUGUUAACUUCUAUAUAAUUUCAUCCAGUGACAUUUGCUAUCAAGAAUUGUAGUAUUUAAAAAUGUCUCAAAUACUCAAAAGUUGAGAACCACUCUCCUAUAGUUAAAGUUGAUUAAUUGGUAGAGUUGAUCUCCCAACUACCCCUCACCAUCCUGCCCACAUACAUCUUUUAAUACUGUCUACAUAUGUCUAGUCUUUUGGUAUUUCAUUUGUUCUUCAAGAUUUCUCAAAUCACUGUCAGCAGUUCUGUGAUCAUGUCUGCAAAAUCCUUUAUUGCAUUACAAUGCAGUUUCUCUUGACAUUUGAAUUCUGCUAUCAUAGGCUUCAAUUUAAUCUUUAAGGUAUUUAUUUUACCAACAACCAUCCAUUCAUUGCAAAUAAUGUAGCAGCUACAAGACUUGAGGGGCAUACAGAUGGAUCCCCAUCUCCAGCUCCCAGGGAAUGUUCUGAUGGGUUUAACCCAAUCAGGGUAAUUCCAUCACCCUUAUAACAGUCAUUGGUUGAGGUAACCUAAACACAAGCCAGUUGCAUGGGACUGGCUAACCACUGGAAUUGGGUCAGGAAUGGCCCAGUGAGAGAAAAAAAUUUUGUUUGAUGAUUUAAAAAAUCCUAUUUCUUUCUUCCUCUGGUUGGUGUUUUGUCUCUACUUUCAUUGAAUUUACAGUGUAGUUUAGAGAUGAGAUAAAAGAUAUGAAAGGUUAAGUAAUUGCCCCUGACAUGCCCUCUGAAGGGUUCUCGCCCGCCCCUGGGGCUGCCUGCCCUGCUCCCAUGUCAGUUUAGAUGGUGCUCAUGGAGGAAACCUCCAGUAACUAUGGGAGACUAAUUUUUUCUCAAUUCCAAUACCAAUAUAUUUGAGCAAUGCAUUGAUACGUCUGUCUUCAGGAGCUCAUACAGCAGUAUGUGUGUGUGUAGCUAUAUAGCUAUAUCUUUGUUAGUCAUUUUAGUAUUGUGGAUCUAAGAAAAAUCAUAAUAAUUUAUUUUCAUUAGCAAUGUUGGAGGUUUUGACUCUAUAGAUAGAACUUUAGGAAAUAAUUAAGAAUGCGUGCAAAGAUUUAGCAGCUAAAGAUGCUCUUUAAAUUGUUUUCAGAAACAUUUUAUAAAUGAUUUCUAACAACGUUGCAAAAAGCAUCUUUAGUAGUUAAAUCUUUUUGUACAUAAUUAUUUCCUUAAGAUGUAAAUUCCCAGAAGCAGAAUUGCAUUAUAUGCACAUCUUUAAGGCCUUUGCUCCGGACUACAAGCGCCUGAGCCUUCUAAUUCAUUUUCUUGCCUCUGGUUUCUCUCUCCCUCCUUUCUGUCUUGUGUUGGUAAACUUCUCUCUGUAAAACACCGUGCUCAUCAUUUUGCUUUCUUGCUGGGGCCCGGUUCCUUAACUUGCCAUGUGAGGACUUUCACAGUCUGACUCUGCCCCAGAUUUCUAGUCUUUUCUGCUACCAUUCCCCUGUAUAAAAAAUCUUCCAUUUUAAUUAAAUUCAUCUACUCCCUGCCCCCCGUUAUGCCUGUAAUUUCCUGUCUUUGCACUUGUGUUCAUGCUGUUCCCACCUCCUGUAAGAAAGCAGGUGGGAACUGUGUAAUAAAGGAAAUGUCAGAAUCAGGAAUGAGUAAUUCAGUUUGUCACAACCCUCCAUAAACCUUUCUCCCACCUACUUUUCUCCAUUCCACCCAAACUGUUGAGUUGUCCUGGCUUUGGUGCUAAAAAUACCCAAGUGUAUGUGCUGAGCCCUCCCCCAUCCCUUCCCGUUCAGCCCUCCGCCUCCUCAGAGCUGAGGGCUGUUCCACCUGCCGCCUGGUGUUCCCACCUCUCUUCCUCUCUCAGGUCAAUGGCUGGGCUCAGCCUCCUUGUCGAAGCAGCCCUCACUUGUUCACUUCCAUCUCCACCAGACUCAUUGCUCCUCUGCCCUCCCUCUGUAGCUCUCCAUCUCUGGGUUCUGCCUUUUGCUGGGUGUUUCUAAUCGCCCCUGUUUCUGCUUUUACCAUUCUCUCUCUUUUUUUGGUCUGCUUUUCUUCUUUCAUUAUGUUUCCCAUCUCUUAGGUGGAGCCCUCUGAGUUCCUGCGUGAAGAGACAGGCCUUCACUGUGCCGAGAGCAUGCUUUCUGUCAUUUUCAAUAAUUGUCUUCUCAGAGCCCAUCAAAGCAGACCAUGCUUUUCCAUCCUUCUAGGCUCUUUUCGUUAUUGCUUUCCUUCCUUCUCGCUCCUUCCUUAUGGAUUCUACAGCUGUCUCUGAUGCUUGAAUGCCCUGGCCUCAGAAUAACAAAGACUCAAACCUCAGUGACAGAGUUCUCAUCCAACAAGGUGAACUGAGCGGAUGACAUAAAUUAACUAUGUGCAAAAGUUUUAAAGAGAGAAAAAACAUUACUUGCUUCAUAAGAUAUUUUCAGUCUCAGCUUUGGUUUCUAGAACACAUUAUCAAAGAAAGCAUACAGAAAUUCUUGAGUGUUAUUAGACCCAGGGCUAACUGAUUUAAAUAAGCUUAAAAGAAAAAGGCUUACAUAAAGCACAGCCAAAUUGUUCACAACUCUGGAAUUGCAGCAAUUGCUAAUGGUAAAGGGAGAUUUAGAAAUAAAAAGACAUAAUUUGGCUUUAGAAUUUAGGUCCAAUUAAAGGAGACAAAUACGUAAUUCUCAGACAGCAUAGACAAAUGGGUUUUAAAAAUGAUUUCCUUGGGGGUCAGACCUGUGGCACAGUGGUUAAGUGCUCAUGUUCCACUUCAGCAGCCCGGGGUUCACUGAUUCAGAUCCCGGGUGCGGACAUGGCACCACUUGUCAAGCCAUGCUGUGGUAGGCGUCCCACAUAUAAAGUAGAGGAAGAUGGGCAUGGGUGUUAGCUCAGAGCCAGUCUUCCUCAGCAAAAAGAGGAGGAUUGGCAGUAGUUAGCUCAGGGCUAAUCUUCCUCAAAUAAUAAUAAUAGUAAUAAUAAUUUCCUUAACUUUACUUGACUGUCUG